UCACCAUCAGACAACAGGAAGCAGUUUAGAGAACAUAAUUCCCACAUUCCCUAGAUGUGGCACUAAUCUACUUCAUAAAAGGAUGAUGGGCAUUGAAGACACUCCAUAUGGUGUUUGCUUUCAUUGUGGCAAAGCUAACCAUUUGGACAAGAAACUGCUUUUGCCUUGACUGCUGACAGUAUGCUGUACAAGCUGGAUAAUCAGUACACAAAGGAAAAAGACUGCUGAACUUUGCCAAGACAAGGUGAGACCUCCUUAUAUAGUCCUGCUUCAUACAAAAGUGUGCCAGAUACUCUGCAGGACACAAAGGAAAGUGACUGCUGAACUUUGACAAGACAAGUUACUUGUAGACGUGAAGAAUAAUGAAGAAAAUUGGAGUCACCUGAUAUGUGCACUACCAUGAUGUUCAACAAGGUUACAGAGACUAGGUCUUUAUCGUUGGAUCCACCCCAGUCACCGGAGAUAGGACUUCUUUGAGAACUACAUGGUCUCAAGGGAAGUGGAUCUUGGAACCAAGGCACAUCUGAAGGCUGCUGCUGGCCACACUCUGCUGUUGUAACAAGUCUUACCUUCAAGGGGAUCUGGAUGGUAUUUCUCUGUGUCUAUCCCAUCAGGGAAACAAAACAAAGUAACCCCUGGUAUUGUGAAUGCAUUUUAACUUUCUGGCAUUGAUGACACAACUGGAAAAGAGUAAAUUAAAAUGUCUGGAAGAGAAAACAAGAAUAAAGUUCUUGACUUGAUAUUUUAUAAUAAAAAUAAAAAGCUUCAUAAUGACUGAGCUUCAUUAUGAGAUGGAAGCUGGGUUUUAUUUGCCAUAGGACUAAUCACAAACAUAGGCGUCUAACUCACAAGUGCUCUGUAGCAUUAUCAACCACUGUUUCUUUUAACAUAGGCCACAAAUCUUCCUCUGGCACCAAAAGGAGACGUGGGUUGCUUUCGAUUUUCUCCAGUCUGUCAUGUCACUUAACUGCCACAGUGAAAAAGCACUGCCUGCUCAGUCAGAGAAGACCUUUAGGGCCAUAUUUUCACUUCCUAUCUCCUGAAAUACGCACACACAUUUCAGCUACUGCUACUAAGACUGCUUCCCUGCCCUAGAAGGGGAGCAGCAGAGGGUUCUGCUUUUGAAAAUGUUUGUUUUCUUUUGUUGUUGUUGUUGUGGGUACCCUGAUAACAUUGUGCCUCUUUAGAGUCUGUAAAGAUGUUUUCUG
This 1208-nucleotide long non-coding RNA is filed under the name Cricetulus griseus (Chinese hamster). Its description in RNAcentral is "lncRNA (ENSCGRG00015030191.1)". Lineage: Eukaryota; Metazoa; Chordata; Mammalia; Rodentia; Cricetidae. The record is from RNAcentral.